AAAGCGUGCGCAGGCGGUUUUAUAAGUCUGAUGUGAAAUCCCCGGGCUCAACCUGGGAACUGCAUUGGAGACUGUAAGGCUAGAGUGUGUCAGAGGGGGGUAGAAUUCCACGUGUAGCAGUGAAAUGCGUAGAUAUAUGGAGGAAUACCGAUGGCGAAGGCAGCCCCCUGGGAUAACACUGACGCUCAUGCACGAAAGCGUGGGGAGCAAACAGGAUUAGAUACCCGAGU
RNAcentral lists this ribosomal RNA (230 nucleotides) under uncultured bacterium. RNAcentral's name for it is "partial 16S ribosomal RNA". It matches the Rfam family "Bacterial small subunit ribosomal RNA", at positions 562 to 791 of the family's 1533-position model. The record is from RNAcentral.